UCUCCCCGAAACCUCUUCUUCUUCUCUCUUUUUCUUUUUCUUUUCUCUCCAAACCAGUCACGGCCACAACCAGUCGGACCACCGCCGGAGCGCCAUUUCCAACACGCGCCGGAGUUGCAGCUUCUCUGACCGGCGAUGACGGAAACCCCAGAGUUUGGUGAUCAUCGGAGUAAGGACGCGCCUGUACGGCCACUCUAAAGUUUAGCCGUCGAAACUUUGAAGUGACUUUCCGGCGAACUCCGACCACCGUUCGUCGAGUGGGUGGUACCGUUGGAAUCAGUGUCGUGAAAUGAUCGUCGCUCACUAAGUCAUUCCGGUCAACUCGUCAUUUUUAUCCGGCGAGAUUUUGGGUAUCUUCGCUCCUUUGGAAGCAUUUUCCGGCAACACCGGAUCAUUUGGGCGCAGGAGCUGUACUUUCAUGAUGUACUCAUCGAGAUGAUCGUUUUGAUAUAUGACAUGCAUAUAUUCGUCGAUGUUUCCGGUACCGCCACCAACCGCUAUUGUACACCGUUUGGGAAAAACAUGAUAUAAAAAUCAGACUAGAUCAUUCUAAGAUCAUCGAUAAGCUUAGGAGUGUCGCUUUGAGCUCGGAUUAAAUUCUAAAGAGGAGCCUAGUGACGGGAACGUGGAAAAGAUGAAUUAUUGAUGGGGCCAAUGUGUUUAGCCUAUUUCUAUUUCAUGUCAUUGUCUUAUCUGUUGAGCAUUUUAUAUAUGUAUUCGACUUAGAAUCUAAUGAUCGGUAUAUCUGAAUGAGUUAUAAAAUAGUUAGGGAUGAGGAAUGGUGGAUGCUAAGUAUUAUUUUGGGUGUGUAUGACUUAUUAAAUUUAACUAUUUGGUGAUUACAUAACUGUGGGAAUAUUAUUGUUUUAUGUAUAAUGAUAAAUGAUCAUACUUUUAUUACUAA
Molecule: long non-coding RNA, 904 nt
Organism: Humulus lupulus (European hop)
Lineage: Eukaryota; Viridiplantae; Streptophyta; Magnoliopsida; Rosales; Cannabaceae
Exons: 3
Source: RefSeq, a predicted model, not a curated record